AGAGUUUGAUCCUGGCUCAGGACGAACGCUGGCGGCGUGCUUAACACAUGCAAGUCGAAUGGUAAGGCCCUUCGGGGUACACGAGUGGCGAACGGGUGAGUAACACGUGGGUAAUCUGCCCUGCACAUCGGGAUAAGCCUGGGAAACUGGGUCUAAUACCGAAUAGGACCACAGAACACAUGUCCUGUGGUGGAAAGCUUUUGCGGUGUGGGAUGGGCCCGCGGCCUAUCAGCUUGUUGGUGGGGUUAUGGCCUACCAAGGCGACGACGGGUAGCCGGCCUGAGAGGGUGUCCGGCCACACUGGGACUGAGAUACGGCCCAGACUCCUACGGGAGGCAGCAGAAGGG
RNAcentral lists this ribosomal RNA (347 nucleotides) under uncultured Mycobacterium sp. Its description in RNAcentral is "bacterial SSU rRNA". It matches the Rfam family "Bacterial small subunit ribosomal RNA", at positions 8 to 359 of the family's 1533-position model. Lineage: Bacteria; Bacillati; Actinomycetota; Actinomycetes; Mycobacteriales; Mycobacteriaceae. The record is from RNAcentral.